CAGCCGGGACUGGAGCAGCGACAAUUUUGGCUAGUCUGAGAAGGGCAUUCGAGUGACCGUUGACAACGUAUGGGACAGCGUCAAGGCUGAGGGAAGAACCUUGACCUCAUGCUUCCAGGACUUCUAGCUAGCUCUGUGGUUCUGAUAGAAAAUGCCAUCAUUCCCUGCUGGAACAUCUGAGUCCUGUCAACUCUUCUGAAAAUACCCACAGAGAUGCAACAAGAUGUUCAUUAUCUCAAAGCUUCCUGUACUGUCUUCAUCUUAGUCACAACUAAAGGGCCAUACCUGUGGCACACAGAACUUCUUGGACUAGGAGUCAAAUUGGAGCUGCAGUUGCUGGCCUAUGUCACAGCCUUAGCCAUGGCAAUAUUAGAUCCAAGCCACAUCUGAGACCUACACUGCAUGCUGCAGCAACGCCAGAUCCUUAAACCAAUGAGCAAUGCCAGGGAUCGAAGCCGCAUUCUCAUGGAUGCUAUGUUGGGUUCUUAACCUGCUACGCUACAAUGGGAACUCCCAAAGCUUUGAUUUUUAACCUCUAAAAUUUUAGAGGUUGUUCUGGCUCAUUAUGACUGUUAUAGUAUUACUAAGUAAAGUUGAAUGUGCCUGUAUUUAUUAGUCAGCAAUUCAAGUAAUUGGAAUUUGGCCUGUUGACUCUGUGCAUGAACAAACCAUUUAGAAGAAUGCUUUACAAGAGUCUUUCAGCAGUAGCAAAAUACUGGAAAAAAAUGGACUAUCUAGCAGAGAAAAUUAAUGAAACAGAGCCAAAUAUAUCAAUAUAGAUAAAUCUCAGAAUAUAUUGUUCAGUGUAAGAAGUAAGUGAGGAUAGAUAACAGUAAGAUUCCAUUUAUGUUAAGUGGAAAGUGUGAAGAGUUCAUGAAAGUUGUAUAUUGUGUUAGAAUUCAUACAUAAAUUGUAAAAAUAUAGAGAAACCUAGGAAAUGAUUAAUAGAAAAUUCAGGAGAGUGGUUUUUCUCUGCAUAGUGGGAGAGAAAGAAAAAUGUAUGCAAGGAGAUGCAAUUGAGGGCUUUUGACUGGUAAUAUUUUAUUUCCUAACUUGCGUGAUGGAUAGAUGGGUGUUGAUGUUACUAUUAUACUUUAAUCUCUCCUUCUACAUUUUGUUUACUCUUUCCACAUGGUCUAUAUUUCACAGACAAAAAUAUUUUAAAGCCAUCAACAAUAAUUCUGAUAUGCAAUGGCCCAUAAAAUAGGUUGAAUCAUAUUUUGAUACGUAGCCUACAAAGCUCUUUAAGAAAAGUCUAAUUUUAUUUUCCAAGGACACAGAUGGAGAUGAAAUUGAUGAUAUCCCAAUUCUGCUUUGUUUUUUGUGAGAUGUUGAGCAAUUCACUUAUUAGCUAUUUCCACUUUUAUGUUUAUGGAAUAGCAGUGAUAUACUGGUUUAUUAAAAUAUUGAUGUUUAUAAAACAUAUACCUGAAAUAGUAUCAUAUCCUAUAUUAAAAUAUUAUAGUACCAUUUAAAAUAAUAUAUUAAAAAUACACCUAGGUUUCUGACCUAAUGGAAGUUCUUGAAUGAAUAAUGGGAAUAUUGGCAAUGCAGAUCAUCACUGGCUUGGUUAUAAGUGAUGAUAUGAAACAUUUCACUUAAUGGAAGUGAUUAAAAAUGAUAGCAAUUAAACAGAUUUUUGACAGCUGAAAGUUCAAACACAUACCAAACUAUGAAAACACUUUAAUAACAUUUUUUGUAAGAUGAAAAAAUCUGUCAGGGGCAUACAAAUACAUAGGAAGAGUGUUUUGAACAGAGUACAAAAAUGCAACCUUCUUAGGAUGUUAGCACUAAAUGUCAAAAUACCAUGCUGCUAGCUUUUGGUGUUAACUUUUGAAGAUGACAGGUACUAUCCAUACAAUGUUAGAUUUUCAAAUGGUCAUGAAAAAAUUUUGUCACUGCCAAAAGCACAGCUAAAUUAUCAGUUUUCCAAUUUUCUAAAGUACAUGAGGUCUAGUAUAGCACUUUCUUCAGACAGGUUAUUAAAGGGAAGAGAUUAAGUCAGACCUGAAUGAAGCAGGUGUUAGAGUUCGGAUUCCAAUGUCCGUGACCACAGAUGCAGUGUUUGAGGCAACAUGACAAUAUCUGGUAGGAUCUGAGUUAGAACACCAUCUCUGAUCUGAUGGGUGGAAGAACUCCAGUAGUAAUAUCUAGACAAUGGUCCCAUUUAACAUCAAAGAAAAUCAUCCAUGUUCAUAAAGAACCUCAGUGAAAGCCAGGCGUAUAGUUAAAGGGCCCUGUCUCUACAAAGAGAAGUUGCAGAUUAACUGGGCAGGCCGAAAGUGUUUUCUAACAAGGAAACCUACAUUGGAAUAUAGAUGUGAACCCAAAGAAGUCUGCUACUCAUGAAGAAAAGAUAUAAAAUGUGGCUGUUUUCUCUAGCUGUGUUAAUGUAGCUAGAUGUCUGGGGGGGUUACAUUAAGGGCAUUUACUUUCAUUCUUAACCCUUCUUGAAUAGGAAUAGAUAUUUGAAUGUAGGCCAAACUAAUGUAAUUUCCAACUUUUGUACCAUAUAGAGUUAAAACUUCAAGAUGAAGGACUUCUGUCCUAGCAAUUGGUCAGACCGAAAAGGAAGGGACUGGUUUUAAAAGCCAUUCUCUUCAUUCAGCUAUUUUUAGAGCUAAUUGAAAACUUUCUGAUUAUAUAAAUCUUUACUGUAAGAUAUCAUUCUCCUGGGAGUGUUUAUACCCUAUAUUUCAGAACCGUGUUGGGUAUUUUCUAUUUGCCCUUCUAUUUUUAUUUUAACUUGUUCAAAAUCAUCUCUGUGUCCCAGAAGGCUGACAUCUAGGAACUGGUUCAAUGGACAACCUUGCUCUCCGGCUUUUGACUGGAAAAAUUGGAAGCUCCUACAACAGUUUAGAAGGCAGGAGGAGAAUGACAUUUGGUAUUCAUUUCCAGUACUAGCUAGUCUAUAACAGUUCCUCUCUUCUUUAUACAUACAUGCCACUUCACAUUAAGAGAUGGAACUUACUUCCGCUGUCCUUGAAUCUGGACUGGCCUAUGACUAACUUUUAUAAAUAGAAUGCAGCAUAAGGACCUUCUUGGACUUCAAAGCCCAGGCUAAGAGAAAUGGAAGCUUCUACUGGCUGCCUCUUGGAAUCAUCUUCUGUGCUGUGAGAAGCUCAAGGUAAAUGGAAGAACCUCAAAAAUGAGAACCAAAAAUUUCUAGCUACUUUAAAAAUUAAUUGAUAGCUAUGUGAGCGAGUCAUUGUGGUAGCCAUUCUCCAAUAUGGCACCCAAUGAAAGUCACUUUCCAUUAUUCACAUUCUGUAUGUAGUCCCACACUGCGGCAGUAUUGGUUUGUAUGACCAAUUGAAUACCACAGAGGUGAUGAUAUGUAACUCCCAAUAUUAAAUCAUAAUUGUCCUGUGACUUUCAUCAUGAUGGACUUCUUUCAGAUCACCUGGGAAGCCAGGUGUCGAUGUUAUGAGGACAUUCAGACAGCCUGUGGAGAGGCCUUUGUGGUGAGUAAUUGAGGCUUGCUUACAAAUACAUGGAGUGGAGUAACCAAAUUUCAGAUUAGUGCAAUUCAGUCAAUAUCUUGACUCCAGCAUUAGAAAAAACCCUGAGCCAGAACCACCCAACUAAGCUGCUACCAGAUUCUUAACACAAAAACUGCAAGAUAAUACAUUUUUGUGGUCAUAAGUUAUACUUAGCAGCUUAAUUUAUAUAUACAUGUACAUAUAUGUAUAUAAUGUUAUGUAUUACACAGCAGCAAAUAACUAAUGCAUCCAUCCUAAGCAUUUACAGUUCAUUUAAACCACCAGAUGACUGUAGCACUGGCUGAUAUGAAAGGCAGGAGAGAUCAUCUGACCAAGAUUAGCAUAUAGAAUUGUUAAAAGUAAUACAAUGAUUAUUAUUUUAAACCAUCAAACUUUGGAAUGUUUGUUUUGCAGCAAUAGAUAAUCAAAAUAUAAAUUGAUACCUAGAAGUAAGGUGCUGGUGAAACAAAAAUCUAAACCAUGUGGCAUUGACUUUGGGUCUAGGCAAUGGGUAUAGGCCAGAAGAGCCUCAAGGAGACAGACAAUGGAGGCUGAAAAGACAGUGAGGAAAUAGUUAUUUGAUCCUGCAGCAAAGGAGAGUUUUUACCCUGUUGUGUAGAGACAGGAUGUUUGACAAUGCUGUAAUUUGUGGCAAUAUGAAAAAUAGAAAAUGUAUCUAAUGAACUUGUGUAUGGUUAAGGAGGUUUCUAGAUGGGAUGUGUGCCAACUUGUUUAUUUUAGGUGUAUAUGAUCUUUAGUAGGGUGAAAUGAACUAAAGAAGAAAGCAUUCAAUUUUCAAGCAGAAUCUAGAGUACAGGUCAGCAAAUAUUUUCUGUAAUGGGCCAAAUAGUAAAUAUUUUAGCCUUUUCAGAUUGCUGAAUGUUGUCUCUAGCAAUUACUCAUCUUUGCAGUUGUAGCAAUAAAGUAGACAUGGAUGAUAUGUAAAUGAAUGGGAUUGGCUAUGCUUCAGUAAAAAAGGUUGAUUGACA
This 4471-nucleotide long non-coding RNA is filed under the name Sus scrofa (pig). RNAcentral describes it as "lncRNA (ENSSSCG00025051728.1)". Lineage: Eukaryota; Metazoa; Chordata; Mammalia; Artiodactyla; Suidae. The record is from RNAcentral.